RNAcentral lists this ribosomal RNA (253 nucleotides) under uncultured bacterium. RNAcentral's name for it is "partial 16S ribosomal RNA". It matches the Rfam family "Bacterial small subunit ribosomal RNA", at positions 524 to 776 of the family's 1533-position model. The record is from RNAcentral.
UACGUAGGGUGCGAGCGUUGUCCGGAUUUAUUGGGCGUAAAGGGCUCGUAGGCGGCGUGUCGCGUCGGGGGUGAAAGCCCGGGGCUUAACCCCGGGUCGGCAGUGGAUACGGGCAGGCUAGAGGUAGGUAGGGGAGAAUGGAAUUCCGGGUGUAGCGGUGAAAUGCGCAGAUAUCGGGAGGAACACCGGUGGCGAAGGCGGUUCUCUGGGCCGUUCCUGACGCUGAGGAGCGAAAGCGUGGGGAGCGAACAGG